This 1267-nucleotide ribosomal RNA is filed under the name uncultured Lactobacillus sp. RNAcentral's name for it is "partial 16S rRNA". It matches the Rfam family "Bacterial small subunit ribosomal RNA", at positions 28 to 1240 of the family's 1533-position model. Lineage: Bacteria; Bacillati; Bacillota; Bacilli; Lactobacillales; Lactobacillaceae. The record is from RNAcentral.
GACGAACGCUGGCGGCGUGCCUAAUACAUGCAAGUCGAGCGAGCUGAACCAACAGAUUCACUUCGGUGAUGACGUUGGGAACGCGAGCGGCGGAUGGGUGAGUAACACGUGGGGAACCUGCCCCAUAGUCUGGGAUACCACUUGGAAACAGGUGCUAAUACCGGAUAAGAAAGCAGAUCGCAUGAUCAGCUUAUAAAAGGCGGCGUAAGCUGUCGCUAUGGGAUGGCCCCGCGGUGCAUUAGCUAGUUGGUAGGGUAACGGCCUACCAAGGCAAUGAUGCAUAGCCGAGUUGAGAGACUGAUCGGCCACAUUGGGACUGAGACACGGCCCAAACUCCUACGGGAGGCAGCAGUAGGGAAUCUUCCACAAUGGACGAAAGUCUGAUGGAGCAACGCCGCGUGAGUGAAGAAGGUUUUCGGAUCGUAAAGCUCUGUUGUUGGUGAAGAAGGAUAGAGGUAGUAACUGGCCUUUAUUUGACGGUAACCAAACCAGAAAGUCACGGCUAACUACGUGCCAGCAGCCGCGGUAAUACGUAGGUGGCAAGCGUUGUCCGGAUUUAUUGGGCGUAAAGCGAGCGCAGGCGGAAGAAUAAGUCUGAUGUGAAAGCCCUCGGCUUAACCGAGGAACUGCAUCGGAAACUGUUUUUUCUUGAGUGCAGAAGAGGAGAGUGGAACUCCAUGUGUAGCGGUGGAAUGCGUAGAUAUAUGGGAAGAACACCAGUGGCGGAAGGCGGCUCUCUGGUCUGCAACUGACGCUGAGGCUCGAAAGCAUGGGUAGCGAACAGGAUUAGAUACCCUGGUAGUCCCAUGCCGUAAACGAUGGAGUGCUAAGUGUUGGGAGGUUUCCCGCCUCUCAGUGCUGCAGCUAACGCAUUAAGCACUCCCCGCCUGGGGAGUACGACCGCAAGGUUGAAACUCAAAGGAAAUUGACGGGGGCCCGCACAAAGCGGUGGAGCAUGUGGUUUAAAUUUCGAAGCAACGCGAAGAACCCUUACCAGGGUCUUGACAUCCUAGUGCAAUCCGUAGAGAUACGGAGUUCCCUUUCGGGGGACACUUAAAACAGGUGGUGCAUGGGUGUCCUCGUGUCGCGAGAUGUUUGGGGUCAAGUCCCCGCAACCGAGCGCCAACCCCUUGUGGCAUUGUGCUAAGGAAAAAGCUUAGGGACUUAUGCCAUGCUCGGUGGACAAACCCGGGAGAAGGGCGGGGGAUUGACGUUCAAAUCUUAUGGCCCCCUUAUGGCUGGGCUACACUACUAAAUUGGGCGGGCC